Molecule: transfer RNA, 66 nt
Filed under: Microhyla sp. 2 VG-2020
Lineage: Eukaryota; Metazoa; Chordata; Amphibia; Anura; Microhylidae
Description: partial tRNA-Val
Rfam family: tRNA
About the family: Transfer RNA (tRNA) molecules are approximately 80 nucleotides in length. Their secondary structure includes four short double-helical elements and three loops (D, anti-codon, and T loops).
Source: RNAcentral
AUGUAGCUUAACUAAAGCAUUUCGCUUACACCGAAAACAUGUCUUUUUAAACAGGACCAUUUUGAG